AUGAUAGAGGCGCGGCUACGAUGAGUAGCGGACACGGCUUGGGCAAAUGCCGGUCCGGGAAAGGCGUCGCCGCCGAAGGUUGAGGGAUGCGCGCCCAAGCUUCCUCCUCCUGGGCUGCCGCAGAAUAUGCGGCGGACUGUCACAGGACCCGAACCCCUGUGGAGCGCUGUCA
Molecule: non-coding RNA, 172 nt
Filed under: chicken gut metagenome
Description: Lysine riboswitch
Rfam family: Lysine riboswitch aptamer
About the family: Riboswitches are metabolite binding domains within certain messenger RNAs that serve as precision sensors for their corresponding targets. Allosteric rearrangement of mRNA structure is mediated by ligand binding, and this results in modulation of gene expression.
Source: RNAcentral